AACGCACCUUGCGCUCCUUGGUAUUCCGAGAAGCAUGCCUGUUUGAGUGUCAUGAUAUUCUCAAAUCUCAUUACCUUUGAAAGAAGGUUGGUGAGAUUUGGAUUGUUGGAGUGUGCUAGACUUGUAACAAGUUUCGAGCUACUCUUGAAUGCAUUAGCGAUCCUUAUAAAAAGGGGCUUCAUUUGGUUUGAUAGUUGUCUAUGCCAUUUAAGACCCGACAUUGGAAAGCUUCUAAUGAGUCUUUUGUUUCUCUUUGUGACCUCAAAUCAGGUAGGACUACCCGCUGAACUUAA
RNAcentral lists this unclassified non-coding RNA (293 nucleotides) under uncultured Agaricales. RNAcentral's name for it is "sequence contains 5.8S rRNA gene, ITS2, 28S rRNA gene". The record is from RNAcentral. Lineage: Eukaryota; Fungi; Basidiomycota; Agaricomycetes; Agaricales.